AGGCUAAGAAUGUGAAGAAUUAGUGUACAAAGGAUCAUGAACUCAGCCACAAAAGGACACACAUCCUUGCCAUGCAAUCCACAUAGCAUUCCCUUUGGAUUCCCAUGCAUGCUUAGUCAUCCUUGUCCCCUAAAAUGUUUCUGAUUUCAUGCCUCACUACACUCAAUUAUCACACUCAAUUGCUGCAUACCUAUUGUUCCCUUCACCCAUCAGAUUUCACACAUACUUUCACAAACAUUCCAUGCACCAAUUGAUGCUCCAUCAUCCACAUUUGGGAUCCAAUGCCAUGUGCAACACAUGUUGCUGCACCUUUGACUAAUUUCUGAAACAUUUCACCUCCCCUUUUCAUUUCCAUGCAAUAAACACAAUCAUUCAUGCUCCCUAGCUGAAAUACCACUCCAUUUUACCCUCCAUACUUUGCAUCAUUGCUCCAUUU
RNAcentral lists this long non-coding RNA (436 nucleotides) under Malus domestica (apple). RNAcentral describes it as "long non-coding RNA (MDOM_LNC010645)". The record is from RNAcentral. Lineage: Eukaryota; Viridiplantae; Streptophyta; Magnoliopsida; Rosales; Rosaceae.